AAGUCGUAACAAGGUUUCCGUAGGUGAACCUGCGGAAGGAUCAUUAACAAAUCUACAACACACCCUGUGUAAACGUUGGCGUUCCCGUGGUAGAGAGGGUAGACGUGAAUGAGAGAGAGGGGUAGAAGGGAGAGGGUCAGUCGUCGUCGUCUGCGCACCAUGAUGUCAUGUCAUGGGGUGAGCGGCGGUGACCGGCCACUACCAACCACCCCACCCACACUCACCACAAUACACCACCACCACCACGGGACACGUACAUCUCUAUACUAUGUUGAUUGACUGCCUAAGUAGAUAUCAUGA
This 300-nucleotide unclassified non-coding RNA is filed under the name Phylloporus sp. RNAcentral describes it as "partial contains small subunit ribosomal RNA and internal transcribed spacer 1". The stretch from base 1 to 46 matches the Rfam family "Eukaryotic small subunit ribosomal RNA", at positions 1786 to 1831 of the family's 1831-position model. Lineage: Eukaryota; Fungi; Basidiomycota; Agaricomycetes; Boletales; Boletaceae. The record is from RNAcentral.